AUGGUAAGAUUUGCUUCCGGAUAUUCCUACGGUCAACUUUGUAGAGUAACACGUGAUGCCUCUAAAUAUUCAACGUCUAUCUCAAUUAUCCAAAACAAUAAGCUACGCACAAGGGGCGCUAACUGGGGCUAUCCACGUGCCCACUCGCCAUUGCCCAAGAGAGAGAGACAUCAGCGUAUCCUUUUCCUGUUCUCACAUGAAUCCUUCUUCCCCUUUUCGUUUUUCCUCCCCACAGUGGCGGCUAGGGUUGCUGCCGCCAGCGCCGCAUCCGGCUCCCACUCCACCAGCAGCUCCUAUUCCCCUCUCAUCUCUUUUUGUGCACGCGAAGAUGCAGUGGAGGUGGUUCUCAUCGAAGGAGGCGGGGGUUGA
RNAcentral lists this ribosomal RNA (369 nucleotides) under Triticum aestivum (bread wheat). RNAcentral's name for it is "partial small subunit ribosomal RNA". The record is from RNAcentral. Lineage: Eukaryota; Viridiplantae; Streptophyta; Magnoliopsida; Poales; Poaceae.